UACAGAGGUCCCAAGCGUUGUUCGGAUUCACUGGGCGUAAAGGGUGCGUAGGCGGUCGGGUAAGUCUGGCGUGAAAGCCCCGGGCUCAGCCCGGGAAGUGCGCUCGAAACUGCGCGGCUCGAGUGCCGGAGGGGAGAGUGGAAUUCCUGGUGUAGCGGUGAAAUGCGUAGAUAUCAGGAGGAAUACCGGUGGCGAAAGCGACUCUCUGGACGGCAACUGACGCUGAGGCACGAAAGCGUGGGGAGCAAACAGG
This 253-nucleotide ribosomal RNA is filed under the name uncultured bacterium. Its description in RNAcentral is "partial 16S ribosomal RNA". It matches the Rfam family "Bacterial small subunit ribosomal RNA", at positions 524 to 776 of the family's 1533-position model. The record is from RNAcentral.